GAUGAACGCUGGCGGCGUGCCUAAUACAUGCAAGUCGAGCGAACAGACGAUGAUCUUGCGCCUCUCACGUUAGCGGCGGACGUGUGAGUAACACGUGUAUAACCUACCUAUCAUACUGGUAUAACUUCGAGAAACCGGAGCUAAUACCGUAUAAUAUAUUGAUCCGCAUGGUUCGAUAGUGAGAUACGGUUGUUCUGUCACUUAUAGAUGGAUCCGCGCCGCAUGAGCUAGUUGUUAGGUUAACGGCUUACCAAGGCAACGAUGCGUAGACGAACUGAGAGGGUGAUAGGCGACAGUAGAAGUGAGACGCGCUCAAGAGUACUAAGAGAGGCAGCAGUAGGGAAUGGUAGGCAACGGGCGAAAGUAUGACGGAGCAACGGGGAGUGAGUGAUGACGGUCUUCGGAUCGUAAAACUCGGUUAUUAGGGAAGAACCAAUGUGUCAGUAAACAUGCCCGUAUUGACGGUAACUAAUAAGAAAGCACCGGCUAACUACGUG
This 497-nucleotide ribosomal RNA is filed under the name uncultured bacterium. Its description in RNAcentral is "partial 16S ribosomal RNA". It matches the Rfam family "Bacterial small subunit ribosomal RNA", at positions 28 to 507 of the family's 1533-position model. The record is from RNAcentral.